RNAcentral lists this transfer RNA (67 nucleotides) under Porotermes adamsoni (Australian dampwood termite). RNAcentral's name for it is "tRNA-Trp". The record is from RNAcentral. Lineage: Eukaryota; Metazoa; Arthropoda; Insecta; Blattodea; Termopsidae.
AAGGCUUUAAGUUAAAUAAAACUAAUAUCCUUCAAAGCUAUAAAUAAAGAAAACUCUUUAAGCCUUA